GCAGUCGAACGGCAGCAUGAUCUAGCUUGCUAGAUUGAUGGCGAGUGGCGAACGGGUGAGUAAUACAUCGGAACGUGCCCUGUAGUGGGGGAUAACUAGUCGAAAGAUUAGCUAAUACCGCAUACGACCUGAGGGUGAAAGUGGGGGACCGCAAGGCCUCAUGCUAUAGGAGCGGCCGAUGUCUGAUUAGCUAGUUGGUGAGGUAAAGGCUCACCAAGGCGACGAUCAGUAGCCGGUCUGAGAGGACGAUCAGCCACACUGGGACUGAGACACGGCCCAGACUCCUACGGGAGGCAGCAGUGGGGANUUUUNGACAAUGGGGGCAACCCUGAUCCAGCANUGCCGCGUGUGUGAAGAAGGCCUUCGGGUUGUAAAGCACUUUUGUCCGGAAAGAAAUCGCACUUACUAAUAUUAGGUGUGGAUGACGGUACCGGAAGAAUAAGGACCGGCUAACUACGUGCCAGCAGCCGCGGUAAUACGUAGGGUCCAAGCGUUAAUCGGAAUUACUGGGCGUAAAGCGUGCGCAGGCGGUUGUGCAAGACCGAUGUGAAAUCCCCGGGCUUAACCUGGGAAUUGCAUUGGUGACUGCACGGCUAGAGUGUGUCAGAGGGGGGUAGAAUUCCACGUGUAGCAGUGAAAUGCGUAGAGAUGUGGAGGAAUACCGAUGGCGAAGGCAGCCCCCUGGGAUAACACUGACGCUCAUGCACGAAAGCGUGGGGAGCAAACAGGAUUAGAUACCCUGGUAGUCCACGCCCUAAACGAUGUCAACUAGUUGUUGGGGAUUCAUUUCCUUAGUAACGUAGCUAACGCGUGAAGUUGACCGCCUGGGGAGUACGGUCGCAAGAUUAAAACUCAAAGGAAUUGACGGGGACCCGCACAAGCGGUGGAUGAUGUGGAUUAAUUCGAUGCAACGCGAAAAACCUUACCUACCCUUGACAUGCCACUAACGAAGCAGAGAUGCAUUAGGUGCUCGAAAGAGAAAGUGGACACAGGUGCUGCAUGGCUGUCGUCAGCUCGUGUCGUGAGAUGUUGGGUUAAGUCCCGCAACGAGCGCAACCCUUGUCUCUAGUUGCUACGAAAGGGCACUCUAGAGAGACUGCCGGUGACAAACCGGAGGAAGGUGGGGAUGACGUCAAGUCCUCAUGGCCCUUAUGGGUAGGGCUUCACACGUCAUACAAUGGUGCAUACAGAGGGUUGCCAAGCCGCGAGGUGGAGCUAAUCCCAGAAAAUGCAUCGUAGUCCGGAUCGUAGUCUGCAACUCGACUACGUGAAGCUGGAAUCGCUAGUAUCGCGGAUCA
RNAcentral lists this ribosomal RNA (1298 nucleotides) under uncultured Ralstonia sp. RNAcentral describes it as "bacterial SSU rRNA". It matches the Rfam family "Bacterial small subunit ribosomal RNA", at positions 57 to 1351 of the family's 1533-position model. The record is from RNAcentral. Lineage: Bacteria; Pseudomonadati; Pseudomonadota; Betaproteobacteria; Burkholderiales; Burkholderiaceae.